Molecule: long non-coding RNA, 347 nt
Filed under: Nicotiana benthamiana
Lineage: Eukaryota; Viridiplantae; Streptophyta; Magnoliopsida; Solanales; Solanaceae
Description: long non-coding RNA (NBEN_LNC010959)
Source: RNAcentral
UGCUAUGUUGGUUCAGAUUUUAGGCAUGCUGGCAAAUCAGUUCUGGCGGUGGAAAUUGAGCCGAGGAUGGCAAUAAAGGUUAUAUGGUGCUUCGUAGGUGUGUGGAAAUAAUAGGAUGUCUUGAGCUUUUAUUGGUAAAGAAUGCUCAGUGUAUAGAGAAGGAAGAUGCUUGUUUGUAUUGGUAUGAGGUCGUAUCCUGCGGUGUUAGAGUGCAAAUGAGGCACAGAUGGUUUUGUUCGUUGAGCAUGCUAAAUGCAAGUUGAAUAGAGUGAAUGACUCUCGAAAAUAGGUCUAAUGUGUUUAUGAUUCUACAUGUAACAAUGGGGCAUCUUAAAGUACCAUGUGUG